GAUCAUGGCUCAGGACGAACGCUGGCGGCGUGCCUAGCACAUGCAAGUUGAACGGAACUUUUUUGAAAGAUUUCUUCGGAAUGAAUUUGAUUAAGUUUAGUGGCGGACGGGUGAGUAACGCGUGAGUAACCUGCCUCUAAGAGGGGAAUAACAUUCUGAAAAGAAUGCUAAUACCGCAUAAUAUAUAUUUAUCACAUGGUAGAUAUAUCAAAGAUUUAUCGCUUAGAGAUGGACUCGCG
Molecule: ribosomal RNA, 239 nt
Filed under: uncultured bacterium
Lineage: Bacteria
Description: partial 16S ribosomal RNA
Rfam family: Bacterial small subunit ribosomal RNA
Source: RNAcentral